RNAcentral lists this unclassified non-coding RNA (187 nucleotides) under uncultured Herpotrichiellaceae. Its description in RNAcentral is "sequence contains ITS1". Lineage: Eukaryota; Fungi; Ascomycota; Eurotiomycetes; Chaetothyriales; Herpotrichiellaceae. The record is from RNAcentral.
CAGAGUUAGGGUCUUCCAGGCCCGACCUCCCAACCCUAUGUUUAUUUGACUUAUUCGUUGCUUCGGCGGGCCCGUCCUCGGACCGCCGGAGGACCGUUACCGGUCCUCUGGCCCGCGCUCGCCGGUGGCCUCGUUAAACUCUUGAAUGAAUCGUGGCAUUGUCUGAGUUAUAUAUCUAAAUAAAACA